UUCAUAUUAUCUAGGUUUAAACGCCGUCCAAGGAGCCGAGCAAGAAUGAGAGCCUGUUAUGAAGACAUCUGUUAGAAUAGGAAUAGGUUUAUACAAUCCUAUUUAGAAUAGGAAUAGGAAUACAAAUAGAAAUAGGAAUAGUAAAUAGUAUCCUACUUGGUAAAGGAUUGUAUUCUAGUGUCUAUAAAUAGGGUCUCAAUGUAAUAAUGUAGACACAACAACAAUUCAAUAAUAUUUUUUUCCUAUAUUCUCACAACAUCAAAACAAAAUGUUGUCAUGAGGGAUGUUCAACUUCUCAAAAUUUACAGAACCAAUUAGAACUAUGAACAUUUCGUGAAAGGUACCGAAAGUUGGAUAAGAUAUGCUUCCCAUCACAAUCUGCGAAAACGAUUCUGCCUAAAUCACUGCUUUUCUGCUCCCCAAAGGCACCAUCAUCCCAAGCACCAAAUAAGGAAAAAUUAUAACAAAGACAUCCAUUCAGCUAAAAUUCCCAUACUCAUAAAUGGACAACAUUCAGCAUAAGAAUAUCACAGAAAAAAUAUACUUCCUGAAAACACUUUCUACAGUGAGUGUGAGUAUAUAGCAGAUGAAACAUUAUGUCUUAAUUAUGCAUACUGAAAGACUACAGGUAAGUUCAGAUAAAAAAGAAA
RNAcentral lists this long non-coding RNA (650 nucleotides) under Solanum tuberosum (potato). Its description in RNAcentral is "long non-coding RNA (STUB_LNC011025)". The record is from RNAcentral. Lineage: Eukaryota; Viridiplantae; Streptophyta; Magnoliopsida; Solanales; Solanaceae.